GGGCCGCACGCGCGCUACACUGACGGAGCCAGCGAGUAGGAACCUUGGCCGAGAGGUCUGGGUAAUCUUGUGAAACUCCGUCGUGCUGGGGAUAGAGCAUUGCAAUUAUUGCUCUUCAACGAGGAAUUCCUAGUAAGCGCAAGUCAUCAGCUUGCGUUGAUUACGUCCC
RNAcentral lists this ribosomal RNA (169 nucleotides) under Taiozyma onychis. Its description in RNAcentral is "Wickerhamomyces onychis partial 18S rRNA". It matches the Rfam family "Eukaryotic small subunit ribosomal RNA", at positions 1484 to 1653 of the family's 1831-position model. Lineage: Eukaryota; Fungi; Ascomycota; Saccharomycetes; Phaffomycetales; Wickerhamomycetaceae. The record is from RNAcentral.